This 497-nucleotide ribosomal RNA is filed under the name uncultured bacterium. Its description in RNAcentral is "partial 16S ribosomal RNA". It matches the Rfam family "Bacterial small subunit ribosomal RNA", at positions 28 to 507 of the family's 1533-position model. The record is from RNAcentral.
GAUGAACGCUGGCGGCGUGCCUAAUACAUGCAAGUCGAGCGAACGGACGAGGAGCUUGCUCCUCUGACGUUAGCGGCGGACGGGUGAGUAACACGUGGAUAACCUACCUAUAAGACUGGGAUAACUUCGGGAAACCGGAGCUAAUACCGGAUGAUAUAUUGAACCGCAUGGUUCAAUAGUGAAAGACGGUUUUGCUGUCACUUAUAGAUGGAUCCGCGCCGCAUUAGCUAGUUGGUAAGGUAACGGCUUACCAAGGCAACGAUGCAUAGCCGACCUGAGAGGGUGAUCGGCCACACUGGAACUGAGACACGGUCCAGACUCCUACGGGAGGCAGCAGUAGGGAAUCUUCCGCAAUGGGCGAAAGCCUGACGGAGCAACGCCGCGUGAGUGAUGAAGGUCUUCGGAUCGUAAAACUCUGUUAUUAGGGAAGAACAAAUGUGUAAGUAACUAUGCACGUCUUGACGGUACCUAAUCAGAAAGCCACGGCUAACUACGUG